RNAcentral lists this unclassified non-coding RNA (253 nucleotides) under uncultured Gammaproteobacteria bacterium. Its description in RNAcentral is "contains 16S-23S intergenic spacer region". It matches the Rfam family "Bacterial small subunit ribosomal RNA", at positions 524 to 776 of the family's 1533-position model. The record is from RNAcentral. Lineage: Bacteria; Pseudomonadati; Pseudomonadota; Gammaproteobacteria.
UACAGAGGGUGCAAGCGUUAAUCGGAAUUACUGGGCGUAAAGGGUGCGUAGGUGGCGUAGUAAGUUGGAUGUGAAAUCCCCGGGCUUAACCUGGGAACUGCAUUCAAAACUGCUUAGCUAGAGUAGAGUAGAGGGAAGUGGAAUUUCCGGUGUAGCGGUGAAAUGCGUAGAUAUCGGAAGGAACACCAGUGGCGAAGGCGACUUCCUGGACUCAUACUGACACUGAGGCACGAAAGCGUGGGGAGCAAACAGG